GCGAAAUUAAUUCAGUGGUAGAAUGUCUGCCUUCCAAGCAGAACGUCAGCGGUUCGAAUCCGCUAUUUCGCU
RNAcentral lists this transfer RNA (72 nucleotides) under Caulobacteraceae bacterium. RNAcentral describes it as "tRNA-Gly". It matches the Rfam family "tRNA". Rfam says of the family: Transfer RNA (tRNA) molecules are approximately 80 nucleotides in length. Their secondary structure includes four short double-helical elements and three loops (D, anti-codon, and T loops). The record is from RNAcentral. Lineage: Bacteria; Pseudomonadati; Pseudomonadota; Alphaproteobacteria; Caulobacterales; Caulobacteraceae.